CAAUAGCGUAUAUUAAAGUUGUUGCAGUUAAAACGCUCGUAGUUGGAAUGGUGGCUUCGGGACGAUGGCGACGAGAGUCUGCUGUCCCCCAAAUGCCAUUUUCCUGUAGUUUUCUUUUGUUCUCUACGGGACUCUUACCUUGAGGAAAUUAGAGUGCUCCAAGCAAGCAAUCGCUUUGAAUAUUGCAGCAUGGUAUAACACUUUUGGUCCUAGGGUUUUCUUGGUUUUAACUCUAGUACAAUGUUCAAUAGGAGCGGUCGGGGGUAUCUGUAUUUAGUAGUCAGAGGUGAAAUUCUAGGAUUUACUAAAGACAAACAAAGGCGAAAGCAUUUACCAAGGACGUUUCCAUUAA
This 352-nucleotide ribosomal RNA is filed under the name uncultured eukaryote. RNAcentral describes it as "partial 18S ribosomal RNA". It matches the Rfam family "Eukaryotic small subunit ribosomal RNA", at positions 592 to 976 of the family's 1831-position model. The record is from RNAcentral.